Molecule: non-coding RNA, 1571 nt
Organism: Poecilia reticulata (guppy)
Lineage: Eukaryota; Metazoa; Chordata; Actinopteri; Cyprinodontiformes; Poeciliidae
Source: RefSeq, a predicted model, not a curated record
CCUCUGACAGGUAGGUUUCUUCUGUAGUGCUUUAUUAUAAGCAGUAAAAAAAGGAGAAGAAAUUCAGCUGAAAUUAAUAGCGUAGCCCCGGCGAGACUCUUGUUACUUUUCAUAAAGCCAGAGUUUUAGUGUGGGGUCAUUCACCUAUGGUGGCUUUGAAAAAUAGCAGCAAUAAUACAACCAAAAAAAAAAAAAAAAACGAGAUAAAAUAGUGGAGAAAGGGAGGGAGAGAUGGGAGGAGUAUAGUACUGUACGGAGUGUGAAGCUGGGAGAGAUGGGGAGAGUGAAACACACACACACACACGCACACGCACAAACACACAGAGAGGGUGCAGAUAGCGGGAGGGGAAAACCUCCUCUCUGAAAGGGAUGAUGUCAGUCUCUGCAGCUGAGCCCCAGUUCCCGACUCUCUCUGCCUCCUGAAAACACACUGGCAGGCUGAGCCACAAAGAGGGGAGGAAAGGGAAACUUCGAGGGGGAGAGCCCCGGCGACAGAAACCCCCGCAGCUCCUGACCAGACGGCCAACGGGGGGGGGGAUUUUCACCAGCGCACAAAGAAGAAGCAGGGGGACGAGGUUCAGGUCUCAUGAUAAUUCAGGAAUAGGAAGAUGUGAGACUCUCCUCCUCCAUGUUUGCAGUCUUUGAGUUCUACAUGCAAGCCAUGGUGUAAUAUGGCUUUUUAUUCCUAUGUGAGGAUGAAAAAUAUUCAUGUAGGAAUAGAAGCUGUUUUACAUGUGGUGAGAGAGCAGCGCGACACAAGCAAGAGCCGCUGGCCGCUCACGGAGACAGAUGCACGACUGGAUAAAUGUAUCUGUCUUCUAUUAAACGCUUCCCUGUAGUAAAAGAAAAAAAAAAAAAACGGUAAAUUUUUGCUCAAUUUUCAAAUGACGAGUUAACUCAUUGAUGUGCUCAUCUGAGAGAGGGAGAAAGAAAAAAAAAAAUCAAGUCAGACUUUGUUUUGUGUGCACCUGUUUUUUGCCUCCAGGCACAAGCAGCUUCCACUGCUUCGGCUGUUUGAUGCAUUUGGUGACAGAUGCCGUCCGCGGGGAAGCAGGAAACAUUUGCAAAACAUUUCAAGAACAAAGGAGGAGAAGAGCGAUAAGAGACCAAUACAGAUCUUUAAUAACAAACUGUAAAACAGGCACUUAGUGAACCACUUUACAACCUGCAAGAGACGCGCAGUUUCCCUUUCUUUUCAAUGUCAUUCAUUUUGCACAUUAUUAAAAUAAAACUUUGUCAUGAAGCAUUACAUCAAACAAUAUUCUACCUACAAUACUAUACAAUGAAGGUACAUACAGUAUAAACAAGAUAAAGCACCUUUGUUGUCCAAGUAAAUACUAUUAAUAAUUAAACAUUUGGAGUUACAGACACAGAUAAAUGAGUUUGUCAUUUGUGUGUGGUAUUAUCAGUGCAUGGAAAGAACUCCAAAUACAGGUCCAGGGACUGUGAUGUCCUCAUCAGCACCUGAGUUUACGUAUACACCAGAAGCUGUUGUAAGUUUUGUGUUUUUUCUGCCUACAUAUGAAUGAUUUGGUUUAUACAGUAUGUUCAAUAAAGUAGAAAAAAAACUA